RNAcentral lists this ribosomal RNA (238 nucleotides) under uncultured bacterium. RNAcentral describes it as "partial 16S ribosomal RNA". It matches the Rfam family "Bacterial small subunit ribosomal RNA", at positions 524 to 761 of the family's 1533-position model. The record is from RNAcentral.
UACGAAGGGGGCUAGCGUUGCUCGGAAUCACUGGGCGUAAAGCGCACGUAGGCGGAUUGCUAAGUCAGGGGGUGAAAUCCUGGAGCUCAACUCCAGAACUGCCUUUGAUACUGGCGAUCUUGAGUCCGGGAGAGGUGAGUGGAACUGCGAGUGUAGAGGUGAAAUUCGUAGAUAUUCGCAAGAACACCAGUGGCGAAGGCGGCUCACUGGCCCGGUACUGACGCUGAGUGCGAAAGCG